Molecule: ribosomal RNA, 619 nt
Filed under: uncultured bacterium
Lineage: Bacteria
Description: bacterial SSU rRNA
Rfam family: Bacterial small subunit ribosomal RNA
Source: RNAcentral
UGCAGUCGAGCGAGAACCCCGCAAGGGGGGACAGCGGCGAAAGGGACAGUAAUGUGUAGAUCAUCUGCCCUCAGGCCCAGGAUAGCUGUGGGAAACUGCAGGUAAUACCGGAUAAUAUCUCCGGAUCAAAGGUGUGAUUCCGCCUGGGGAUGAGUCUACAUCCUAUUAGCUAGUUGGUAGGGUAACGGCCUACCAAGGCGAUGAUGGGUAGCGGGUGUGAGAGCACGACCCGCGUCAUUGGGACUGAGACACUGCCCAGACACCUACGGGUGGCUGCAGUCGAGAAUCUUCGGCAAUGGGCGAAAGCCUGACCGAGCGACGCCGCGUGCGGGAUGAAGGCCUUCGGGUUGUAAACCGCUGUCAGAGGGGAUGAAAUGCGUGGGGGUUCUCCCCCACGUUUGACAUAGCCUCAGAGGAAGGACGGGCUAAGUUCGUGCCAGCAGCCGCGGUAAGACGAACCGUCCAAACGUUAUUCGGAAUUACUGGGCUUAAAGGGUGCGUAGGCGGCGCGGAAAGUUGGGUGUGAAAUACCUCGGCUCAACCGAGGAACUGCGCCCAAAACUUCCGUGCUCGAGGGAGAUAGAGGUGAGCGGAACUUAGGGUGGAGCGGUGAAAUGCG